ACGUACACUCCUACGGGAGGCAGCAGUGGGGAAUAUUGCACAAUGGGCGCAAGCCUGAUGCAGCCAUGCCGCGUGUAUGAAGAAGGCCUUCGGGUUGUAAAGUACUUUCAGCGGGGAGGAAGGCAAUACGGUUAAUAACCGUGUUGAUUGACGUUACCCGCAGAAGAAGCACCGGCUAACUCCGUGCCAGCAGCCGCGGUAAUACGGAGGGUGCAAGCGUUAAUCGGAAUUACUGGGCGUAAAGCGCACGCAGGCGGUCUGUCAAGUCGGAUGUGAAAUCCCCGGGCUCAACCUGGGAACUGCAUUCGAAACUGGCAGGCUUGAGUCUUGUAGAGGGGGGUAGAAUUCCAGGUGUAGCGGUGAAAUGCGUAGAGAUCUGGAGGAAUACCGGUGGCGAAGGCGGCCCCCUGGACAAAGACUGACGCUCAGGUGCGAAAGCGUGGGGAGCAAACAGGAUUAGAUACCCCAGUAGUCCCAU
This 478-nucleotide ribosomal RNA is filed under the name uncultured organism. RNAcentral describes it as "partial 16S ribosomal RNA". It matches the Rfam family "Bacterial small subunit ribosomal RNA", at positions 329 to 798 of the family's 1533-position model. The record is from RNAcentral.